Molecule: transfer RNA, 69 nt
Filed under: Sillago asiatica (Asian whiting)
Lineage: Eukaryota; Metazoa; Chordata; Actinopteri; Sillaginidae
Description: tRNA-Ala
Rfam family: tRNA
About the family: Transfer RNA (tRNA) molecules are approximately 80 nucleotides in length.
Source: RNAcentral
AAGGCUUUAGCUUAAUUAAAGUAUAUGCUUUGCACGCAUAAGAUGUGGGAUAAUAUCCCGCAAGUCUUA